RNAcentral lists this ribosomal RNA (1182 nucleotides) under Chrysis graelsii. Its description in RNAcentral is "partial 16S ribosomal RNA". Lineage: Eukaryota; Metazoa; Arthropoda; Insecta; Hymenoptera; Chrysididae. The record is from RNAcentral.
AUUUAAUUUUAAUUUAAAAUUAUUAGUGUAUAAAUUAUUUAAAAUAAAGAUAUAGAAGUAUUUUAUUGUUUUAGUAUAAAAUAGGAAUAAAUUUAUUUAAAAUUAUUUAACUGUAAAGGAAUAAUUUAAAUAGUUAAAAGAAUAUUUAAUUUAUAGUACCUUUUGUAUCAGGGAUUAUUAAAAUAAAUAGUAAUAAUUUAUUAAUCUCGAAUUAAAAAGAGUUAAUUUAAUAAUAUAGUUAAUGUGGAAAAAUUAUUAUAAAUAUUAAAUUGGAAAUGAAAUGUUAGUCGAUUUUUAAGAUAUCUAGUUUUUUAAUAGAAAAAUUUAAUUUUUUUGUAAUAUUGUAUAUUAUUAAUUAUUUAAAAUUAAUAAUAUUAUUAUAAAUAAAAAUUUAUGGGAUAAACUAUAAAUUUUAAAUUAAAUAAUAAAAAAUUAUUGUUAAAAAUUUAGAGAUUAAAAUUUUUAUAAUUUAAAAGUUUUUAAUAAUUUAUUAAAAAAAAUUAUGUAAUUUUUAGUUUAUUAAUUAUAUAUUAAAAUAAUUUAAUUAAUUUGUUUAUAAAUAUAAUAAUGAUAAUAUAAGUAUAAAAUUAUGUAAAUAUAACUAUUUAGUAUAAAUUAAUUUAAGGAAUUAGGCAAAUUAUAUUAAAUUCACUUGUUUAACAAAAACAUGUUUUUUUGAAAAUAAUUUAAAAUUUACUCUGCCCAAUGAAAAAUUUAAUGGCCGCAGUAUUUUGACUGUGCAAAGGUAGCAUAAUAAAUAGUCUUUUAAUUGAAGACUGGAAUGAAUGAGGGGAUGAAAUUUAAACUGUCUCAUAUUAAAGAAUAAAAAUUUAUUUUAAGUAAAAAAUCUUAAAUAAUUUUAAGGGACGAGAAGACCCUAUAGAAUUUUAAAUUUUUUUUUAAAUUAAAAAAAUAUUAAUAUAGGUUUAAUUUAAUUAAAAAUUUUUUAUUGGGAGGAUAUUAAAAUUUAAUUAACUUUUAAUUUUAAAUUACAUUAAUUAAUGAAUUUAUGAGUAUUAGUUGUAUAAAAAGAUAAAAUUACCUUAGGGAUAACAGCGUAAUAAAUUUUUAAAGUUCAAAUUGAAAAAUUUGUUUGCGACCUCGAUGUUGAAUUAAAAUAUAAUUUAAGUGAAGUAGCUUAAUAUUUAAGUCUGUUCGACUUUUAAAAUUUUACAUGAUUUG